CCUACGGGUGGCAGCAGUGAGGAAUAUUGGUCAAUGGGCGAGAGCCUGAACCAGCCAAGUCGCGUGAAGGAUGACGGCCCUACGGGUUGUAAACUUCUUUUGUCAGGGAGCAAUUGAGUCCACGUGUGGUCUUAGCGAGAGUACCUGAAGAAAAAGCAUCGGCUAACUCCGUGCCAGCAGCCGCGGUAAUACGGAGGAUGCGAGCGUUAUCCGGAUUUAUUGGGGUAAAAGGGUGCGAAGGGGGAAGAUAAAGGCAGCGGUAAAAAUUCGGGGCUAAACCCCGACGUGCCGUUGAAACUGGUGUUCUUGAGUGGGCGAGAGGUAUGCGGAAUGCGUGGUGUAGCGGUGAAAUGCAUAGAUAUCACGAAGAACUCCAAUGGCGAAGGCGGCAUACCGGCGCCCAACUGACGCUGAGGCACGAAAGCGUGGGUAUCGAACAGGAUUAGAUACCCCGGUAGUC
This 460-nucleotide ribosomal RNA is filed under the name uncultured bacterium. RNAcentral describes it as "partial 16S ribosomal RNA". It matches the Rfam family "Bacterial small subunit ribosomal RNA", at positions 338 to 795 of the family's 1533-position model. The record is from RNAcentral.